UACAUGAAUAAAGAACUUGAAUUGGAGAAAUUCAUCACUCAUACACUUCCAUUUGCUGAAAUCAAUAAGGCUUUUGAUUUAAUGUUGAAGGGAGAAGGCCUUCGUUGCAUCAUCACCAUGGAGGACUAAAUUUACUGUCCUAGAAAAGGAGCUUCUAGCUAGUUGCUACUCUUUGAGAAAAGACCAAUAAAUUGUCACUGUCUUAUUUUCCCUUUCUUGUUUGGUGAUUGAGUUGUAACAUUCCUGUCC
This 249-nucleotide long non-coding RNA is filed under the name Solanum tuberosum (potato). RNAcentral's name for it is "long non-coding RNA (STUB_LNC006585)". The record is from RNAcentral. Lineage: Eukaryota; Viridiplantae; Streptophyta; Magnoliopsida; Solanales; Solanaceae.